CCUAACCCUAUAGAGCUAUCUGGUUCCCCCACCCGCGUCUCAUAAAGGCUUAAAAACCUGUAAUGACUUCCCCCAUUCCAGCGCUGAUGCCCCUCGGUGCUGGGUUGGUGCUUCGCCUCCUCCGACGGGGGCUAAUGGUGAGCGCCACAGGCGCACUAUGCCCUCCCCAUUGGAAAGCUUCAAUGGUUUCCUAUAUGGGGAUUUUAUGGACUCUGGAUGUCCUCAUGCAAAGUCCAUUAGUCCUGCAAUGUCAUUAUUGAACUGUCUCACAAGUGGGACUCGGACACUGCAUCAUAGAGAAAUACGGUCCUUUUAAACAAUA
Non-coding RNA from Pelobates cultripes (western spadefoot toad), 322 nucleotides. The record is from the annotation of a GenBank genome assembly. Lineage: Eukaryota; Metazoa; Chordata; Amphibia; Anura; Pelobatidae.